UACGAAGGGGGCUAGCGUUGCUCGGAAUCACUGGGCGUAAAGCGCACGUAGGUGGAUCGCUAAGUCAGGGGUGAAAUCCUGGAGCUCAACUCCAGAACUGCCUUUGAUACUGGCAAUCUCGAGUCCGGGAGAGGUGAGUGGAACUGCGAGUGUAGAGGUGAAAUUCGUAGAUAUUCGCAAGAACACCAGUGGCGAAGGCGGCUCACUGGCCCGGUACUGACGCUGAGGUGCGAAAAGCGUGGGGAGCAAACAGG
RNAcentral lists this ribosomal RNA (254 nucleotides) under uncultured bacterium. Its description in RNAcentral is "partial 16S ribosomal RNA". It matches the Rfam family "Bacterial small subunit ribosomal RNA", at positions 524 to 776 of the family's 1533-position model. The record is from RNAcentral.